CGAAGGCAGGUCUCUGGGCAUUAACUGACGCUGAGGAGCGAAAGCAUGGGGAGCGAACAGGAUUAGAUACCCUGGUAGUCCAUGCCGUAAACGUUGGGCACUAGGUGUGGGGGACAUUCCACGUUUUCCGCGCCGUAGCUAACGCAUUAAGUGCCCCGCCUGGGGAAUACGGCCGCAAGGCUAAAACUCAAAGGAAUUGACGGGGGCCCGCACAAGCGGCGGAGCAUGCGGAUUAAUUCGAUGCAACGCGAAGAACCUUACCAAGGCUUGACAUGAACCGGAAAGACCUGGAAACAGGUGCCCCGCUUGCGGUCGGUUUACAGGUGGUGCAUGGUUGUCGUCAGCUCGUGUCGUGAGAUGUUGGGUUAAGUCCCGCAACGAGCGCAACCCUCGUUCUAUGUUGCCAGCACGUGAUGGUGGGGACUCAUAGGAGACUGCCGGGGUCAACUCGGAGGAAGGUGGGGACGACGUCAAAUCAUCAUGCCCCUUAUGUCUUGGGCUUCACGCAUGCUACAAUGGCCGGUACAAAGGGUUGCGAUACUGUGAGGUGGAGCUAAUCCCAAAAAGCCGGUCUCAGCUCGGAUUGGGGUCUGCAACUCGACCCCAUGAAGUCGGAGUCGCUAGUAAUCGCAGAUCAGCAACGCUGCGGUGAAUACGUUCCCGGGCCUU
Molecule: ribosomal RNA, 669 nt
Filed under: uncultured soil bacterium
Lineage: Bacteria
Description: bacterial SSU rRNA
Rfam family: Bacterial small subunit ribosomal RNA
Source: RNAcentral